Molecule: small nucleolar RNA, 111 nt
Organism: Doryrhamphus excisus (bluestripe pipefish)
Lineage: Eukaryota; Metazoa; Chordata; Actinopteri; Syngnathiformes; Syngnathidae
Product: small nucleolar RNA SNORD67
Source: RefSeq, a predicted model, not a curated record
CAUGAGAAUGAUGAGUUGCAUGCUUCAGUUGAGGUGUGGUGCAGUGGCAUCAACACCCAAUCUGAUGUAACCUGAUGAGACACCCUAUGCACAGGGGCCAUCUGACUCAAG